This is a long non-coding RNA of Sander lucioperca (pikeperch), 258 nucleotides long. RefSeq lists it as uncharacterized. NCBI's taxonomy places the organism in Eukaryota, Metazoa, Chordata, Actinopteri, Perciformes, Percidae. The record is from RefSeq and is a predicted model, not a curated record. The transcript has 2 exons.
CAUCUUCCUCUAUAAUACCAUGCAAAUUUAGUUAUUUAAAAAAAAUAUUUGAAUAAUAUUAUGUCAUGGGAGCGCCAUAACUAUUUAUACUCGCGCGUGGUGGUCACGACACUAGUUGCAGUCUUCUCCUGAACAGAGGUGUCACAACUGAGGAAAGGCUACCGACUUUUGCUAUUUCUACGGACUAGAAGAAGAAGAAAAAGAUGAUAUUGGAGUCAAUGGAUGAGGAAGAACAGCUGCUUUUGAGCCUGCUUGCAA